GUUCUCACUUGAGCAGCACGUAUACUAAAACUGGACUAUACAGAGAAGAUUAGCAUGGUCCCCUGCACUAAGCUGACUUGUAAAUUCAUGAAGCGUUCCAUAUUUUA
Small nuclear RNA from Oryctolagus cuniculus (rabbit), 107 nucleotides. The record is from Ensembl. Lineage: Eukaryota; Metazoa; Chordata; Mammalia; Lagomorpha; Leporidae.